RNAcentral lists this ribosomal RNA (254 nucleotides) under uncultured Actinomycetes bacterium. Its description in RNAcentral is "uncultured actinobacterium partial 16S rRNA". It matches the Rfam family "Bacterial small subunit ribosomal RNA", at positions 186 to 441 of the family's 1533-position model. Lineage: Bacteria; Bacillati; Actinomycetota; Actinomycetes. The record is from RNAcentral.
AGGCAUCUCUACCGUCUGGAAAGUUUUUCGGUCUGGGAUGGACUCGCGGCCUAUCAGCUAGUUGGUGAGGUAAUGGCUCACCAAGGCGACGACGGGUAGCCGGCCUGAGAGGGCGACCGGCCACACUGGGACUGAGACACGGCCCAGACUCCUACGGGAGGCAGCAGUGGGGAAUAUUGCACAAUGGGCGAAAGCCUGAUGCAGCGACGCCGCGUGAGGGAUGAAGGCCUUCGGGUUGUAAACCUCUUUCAGCA